This 228-nucleotide long non-coding RNA is filed under the name Carica papaya (papaya). RNAcentral's name for it is "long non-coding RNA (CPAP_LNC007367)". Lineage: Eukaryota; Viridiplantae; Streptophyta; Magnoliopsida; Brassicales; Caricaceae. The record is from RNAcentral.
UUUCACCUGCAGACGGAGCCAAGAGUAUACUUCCACGUAAGCCACUGUCAGAAUCGUGCCAGCGGUGAAUCAGGUCGAGUCGACACGUGGACGAAUGGUAACAGUCCGCGUGGUAAGGAGAUAUGACGUGUCGAGAUUCUGUUGCGACUGCAUCCAUUAAAGCCCUCCGCUAUUUUUAAUUUGGAUCUCACCAAACACCCACUAAUUAAAGUGAGAGUCUGGGAGUAC